This 441-nucleotide ribosomal RNA is filed under the name uncultured Vampirovibrio sp. Its description in RNAcentral is "bacterial SSU rRNA". It matches the Rfam family "Bacterial small subunit ribosomal RNA", at positions 338 to 795 of the family's 1533-position model. Lineage: Bacteria; Bacillati; Candidatus Melainabacteria; Vampirovibriophyceae; Vampirovibrionales; Vampirovibrionaceae. The record is from RNAcentral.
CCUACGGGGGGCUGCAGUAGGGAAUUUUGCGCAAUGGGCGAAAGCCUGACGCAGCAACACCGCGUGAGGGAUGAAGUUCUUUGGAGCGUAAACCUCUGUCAGUGGGGACGAAUUUUGACGGUACCCACAAAGGAAGCAUCGGCUAACUACGUGCCAGCAGCCGCGGUAAGACGUAGGAUGCGAGCGUUGUCCGGAAUCAUUGGGCGUAAAGAGUUCGUAGGCGGCAUGUCAAGUCUGGUGUUAAAGCCCGGGGCUCAACCCCGGUUUCGCACCGGAUACUGGCAAGCUAGAGUGCAGAAGAGGCAAGGGGAAUUCCCAGUGUAGCGGUGAAAUGCGUAGAUAUUGGGAGGAACACCGGUGGCGUAAGCGCCUUGCUGGGCUGUUACUGACGCUGAGGAACGAAAGCCAGGGGAGCGAAUGGGCUUAGAUACCCGAGUAGUC